UUCGAUCCAUCAACUCUGCCUUAUUUUGAUGUUGUCAAAAUUGUCACCUGGUUAGAUUCCUUUUAAUCAUCAUAAAAAAGGACAUCAAAUGGUUAUGCAUGGGAUCAAGAUCCAUUUGACUCAAUUUAGAGCAUAAAAUCCUGGGGUCCUCAGCUUUUUUGUAAGCUUUAUUUACUAGUAGUAGUUUGUGGUCUACAUUUGCUAUUAUAUAUACCUUUUCUGAUACAGUUGAGGUUAACUAUUGACCUGUAAACAAGGCAGACAGAUGGAUGACCAAAACUUUUGACCAGGCAGACAAGCUUUAUUCACAAUCACUUAGAAUACGGUAUGCUAUCCCCUUAGGCAGUUCAAAUUCUGCAGCAGUUGGAUAUAUAUGUAUAUAUGAACCAGAAAAGAAUAGAGAUUUUCCAACUGUAGGAUUAAGAGGUUUAAGAAUGCAGCAGCUCUGUAAACUAAGUGGUUAAGAAAUCAAUCAAAAUCUUGGCGGAUGCACUCUAUGGAUCAUUUCAGCGACAACAACUGCAUUAUUGGUGUAAUCACUUUAUGGUUGCCUUUCUUUCUUCUUGUAUCAUGACUGGUGUUAGCACUGCAGCAACUUUGUUUGAUUUUCUGGGAUGCAACGACAUAAUGAUUAAUUAACAACUUUGAACUAUUGAGUAUAUAGUCUAAGAAAUUUUGCUAGUACUCCACUAUAAUUUAAACACACUCCAUGUUCAUGAAGCUCUAACCAUUUGCUAAUGCUUGUAGGUUCGAUUCAAUAUGUGUUUGUAUUAAAAAAACACAUUCUACUCCGGCGUUUGCCCAUUUUCGGGUUGCCAACAGUUCUACUUUCUAAUUUUAUGGAUGAGUAGGCUUCGCUCCACUUUUCUAGCUUCAGCUUUUUCAAAAUCAGCUUCGCUUAUUGUCUUGGAUUUGGUAACAGAAUUCUUCUUUUCUUUUUCAUUUUGCGCCUUUUUCCCCCUAUAUAAAAAAUGAAUGAAAGAUGAGCUUAUAAAUUUCUUUUUAUGUUUUACUAAUAAUUAAAUUAUAUAAGAUUUGCCAAGAGAAAUUGUCUUAGACCUUCUUCUAUAACAUAGGCUAAAUCCCAACGCAGCAUCAAUAACAAAAGAACAUACAUGCAUUUGUGUAGAAAUGUAGCACCUAAAACCUGGAAAAUGAUCCUGAUACCAAAAAAUGGUACUUGAAAAAACAAGUGACUUCCAAUUCCUUGUAAUGUCAUUGAAGUUGCUGACAUUUCAAUAUCAUACUCUUGAAAGACAAUGAAUACACUAUUUAACAAUCAAAAGAGCAGUCCUUUUAAAAUGUUAGAAAAAACCUGUACUUUAACAGCGCAAAAGGGAAAGAAUACAUGCUAUCAUGUGCGCACGAUAUUUGUAAUACUGACUUUUAAUAAAUGAAAAAUUCUGUAACAAGAGACGUAAAAUAAGAAAGAAGUCUGAUGGAAUGCCUCUAAAUAACGAGCUAACCCCACCAUAAGUAUAUGCAAAAGAAAUGAAUGAGAUGCUAUGUAAUUCCCCACUAUAAAACAGAUGCAGCUGAUUCCGACAAAGACGCGGACCGACCAACUCAGAAAAGAAAUAUAUAUAUUUGUGAGAAAAUAAAAAAGAAGCAAUGGCUGAGUAUCAAGACUACCAAAACUUGGGACUUGUACAUGCCGACCCUUGAGGAAGAUAGGAACACCAGGACCUCCGCAUUUCUUGUUAGAGCACCAGGUCAGACCCACAAGCUGAGCCAGGAACCUUGUUUUCUUCAGUAAAUAACAGGAACAUUCCCUCCCAACCCCAAUAUACAGCAUCAGUAACAUACUAACAUCACGUUCAGUAUAAAUGGAAGGCCCUCAACACCCGAGCAAUCACCAUGACCCACCCCAUCGCAAAACAAAAUAACCCCGCCGACGGUGCUGGCACAUGUGUCUGACAACUUGAAUGCAAAUUUUUUCCAUUGUCAGAAAAUGGCAAUGACUUGACACAUGAAUGCAAUCUCGGAUCUACUCGACACAAUUACAUGCAUGCAGGGACAUGAAAAAAAGAAAAAAGUAUGUAUCAG
This 2046-nucleotide long non-coding RNA is filed under the name Nicotiana benthamiana. Its description in RNAcentral is "long non-coding RNA (NBEN_LNC011473)". The record is from RNAcentral. Lineage: Eukaryota; Viridiplantae; Streptophyta; Magnoliopsida; Solanales; Solanaceae.